GCGGACGGGUGAGUAAUGCCUAGGAAUCUGCCUGGUAGUGGGGGAUAACGUCCGGAAACGGGCGCUAAUACCGCAUACGUCCUGAGGGGGAAAGUGGGGGAUCUUCGGACCUCACGCUAUCAGAUGAGCCUAGGUCGGAUUAGCUAGUUGGUGGGGUAAAGGCCUACCAAGGCGACGAUCCGUAACUGGUCUGAGAGGAUGAUCAGUCACACUGGAACUGAGACACGGUCCAGACUCCUACGGGAGGCAGCAGUGGGGAAUAUUGGACAAUGGGCGAAAGCCUGAUCCAGCCAUGCCGCGUGUGUGAAGAAGGUCUUCGGAUUGUAAAGCACUUUAAGUUGGGAGGAAGGGCAGUAAGUUAAUACCUUGCUGUUUUGACGUUACCAACAGAAUAAGCACCGGCUAACUUCGUGCCAGCAGCCGCGGUAAUACGAAGGGUGCAAGCGUUAAUCGGAAUUACUGGGCGUAAAGCGCGCGUAGGUGGUUCAGCAAGUUGGAUGUGAAAUCCCCGGGCUCAACCUGGGAACUGCAUCCAAAACUACUGAGCUAGAGUACGGUAUAGGGUGGUGGAAUUUCCUGUGUAGCGGUGAAAUGCGUAUAUAU
Molecule: ribosomal RNA, 603 nt
Filed under: Pseudomonas aeruginosa
Lineage: Bacteria; Pseudomonadati; Pseudomonadota; Gammaproteobacteria; Pseudomonadales; Pseudomonadaceae
Description: bacterial SSU rRNA
Rfam family: Bacterial small subunit ribosomal RNA
Source: RNAcentral